GAUGAACGCUGGCGGCGUGCCUAAUACAUGCAAGUCGAGCGAACGGACGAGAAGCUUGCUUCUCUGAUGUUAGCGGCGGACGGGUGAGUAACACGUGGAUAACCUACCUAUAAGACUGGGAUAACUUCGGGAAACCGGAGCUAAUACCGGAUGAUAUUUUGAACCGCAUGGUUCAAAAGUGAAAGACGGUCUUGCUGUCACUUAUAGAUGGAUCCGCGCUGCAUUAGCUAGUUGGUAAGGUAACGGCUUACCAAGGCAACGAUGCAUACCCGACCUGAGAGGGUGAUCGGCCAAACUGGAACGGAAACACGGUCCAGACUCCUACGGGAGGCAGCAGUAGGGAAUCUUCCGCAAUGGGCGAAAGCCUGACGGAGCAACGCCGCGUGGGUGAUGAAGGUCUUCGGAUCGUAAAACUCUGUUAUUAGGGAAGAACAUAUGUGUAAGUAACUGUGCACAUCUUGACGGUACCUAAUCAGAAAGCCACGGCUAACUACGUG
RNAcentral lists this ribosomal RNA (497 nucleotides) under uncultured bacterium. RNAcentral describes it as "partial 16S ribosomal RNA". It matches the Rfam family "Bacterial small subunit ribosomal RNA", at positions 28 to 507 of the family's 1533-position model. The record is from RNAcentral.